GGUACCUUGGCCGAGCGGUCUAAGGCGUCUGAGUCAAGAGAAUAUCUUGUCCGCAUUUAUGUGGAUUUCAUCUGAUCUCGAAAGAGGCGGGAGUUCGAAUCUCCCAGGUACCA
Cryphonectria parasitica EP155 is the source of this 113-nucleotide non-coding RNA. The record is from the annotation of a RefSeq genome assembly. NCBI's taxonomy places the organism in Eukaryota, Fungi, Ascomycota, Sordariomycetes, Diaporthales, Cryphonectriaceae.